AACGAACGCUGGCGGCGUGCCUAACACAUGCAAGUCGAGCGCGAAAAGGGCAACCUGAGUAGAGCGGCGCACGGGUGCGUAACACGUGGGUAAUCUGCCUUAGAGUCGAGGAUAACCUUCCGAAUGGUUGGCUAAUACUCGGUAAGCUUACGGUGUCUUCGGACGCUGUGGGAAAAGUAGGCCUCUGUUUACAAGCUUACGCUCUGAGAUGAGCCCGCGGCCCAUCAGCUAGUUGGCGGUGUAACGGACAACCAAGGCAACGACGGGUAGCUGGUCUGAGAGGACGAUCAGACACACUGGAACGGAGACACGGUCCAGACUCCUACGGGAGGCAGCAGUGGGGAAUUUUCCACAAUGGGCGAAAGCCUGAUGGAGAAACGCCGCGUGUGUGAUGAAGGUUUUCGGAUCGUAAAGCACUUUCGACCGGGACGAAAAACCUCUGGCUAACAUCCAGGGGCCUGACGGUACCGGGAGAAGAAGCACCGGCUAACUCUGUGCCAGCAGCCGCCGUAA
This 513-nucleotide ribosomal RNA is filed under the name uncultured bacterium. Its description in RNAcentral is "partial 16S ribosomal RNA". It matches the Rfam family "Bacterial small subunit ribosomal RNA", at positions 29 to 523 of the family's 1533-position model. The record is from RNAcentral.